GAUGAACGCUGGCGGCGUGCCUAAUACAUGCAAGUCGAGCGAACAGACGAGGAGCUUGCUCCUCUGACGUUAGCGACGGACGGGUGAGUAACACGUGGAUAACCUACCUAUAAGACUGGGAUAACUUCGGGAAACCGGAGCUAAUACCGGAUAAUAUAUUGAACCGCAUGGUUCAAUAGUGAAAGACGGUUUUGCUGUCACUUUUAGAUGGAUCCGCGCCGCAUUAGCUAGUUGGUAAGGUAACGGCUUACCAAGGCAACGAUGCGUAGCCGACCUGAGAGGGUGAACGGCCACACUGGAACUGAGACACGGUCCUGACUCCUACGGGAGGCAGCAGUAGGGAAUCUUCCGCAAUGGGCGAAAGCCUGACGGAGCAACGCCGCGUGAGGGAUGAAGGUCUUCGGAUCGUAAAACUCUGUUAUUAGGGAAGAACAAAUGUGUAAGUAACUAUGCACGUCUUGACGGUACCGAAACAGAAAGCCACGGCUAACUACGUG
This 497-nucleotide ribosomal RNA is filed under the name uncultured bacterium. RNAcentral describes it as "partial 16S ribosomal RNA". It matches the Rfam family "Bacterial small subunit ribosomal RNA", at positions 28 to 507 of the family's 1533-position model. The record is from RNAcentral.